UGUGAGCUCGAUGAGUAGGGCGGGACACGUGGUAUCCUGUCUGAAUAUGGGGGGACCAUCCUCCAAGGCUAAAUACUCCUGACUGACCGAUAGUGAACCAGUACCGUGAGGGAAAGGCGAAAAGAACCCCGGCGAGGGGAGUGAAACAGAACCUGAAACCGUGUACGUACAAGCAGUGGGAGCCUCUUUUAUGGGGUGACUGCGUACCUUUUGUAUAAUGGGUCAGCGACUUAUAUUCUGUAGCAAGGUUAACCGUAUAGGGGAGCCGCAGGGAAACCGAGUCUUAACUGGGCGUUAAGUUGCAGGGUAUAGACCCGAAACCCGGUGAUCUAGCCAUGGGCAGGUUGAAGGUUGGGUAACACUAACUGGAGGACCGAACCGACUAAUGUUGAAAAAUUAGCGGAUGACCUGUGGCUGGGGGUGAAAGGCCAAUCAAACCGGGAGAUAGCUGGUUCUCCCCGAAAGCUAUUUAGGUAGCGCCUCGUGAAUUCAUCUCCGGGGGUAGAGCACUGUUUCGGCUAGGGGGCCAUCCCGGCUUACCAACCCGAUGCAAACUACGAAUACCGGAGAAUGUUAUCACGGGAGACACACGGCGGGUGCUAACGUCCGUCGUGAAGAGGGAAACAACCCAGACCGCCAGCUAAGGUCCCAAAGUCAUGGUUAAGUGGGAAACGAUGUGGGAAGGCACAGACAGCCAGGAUGUUGGCUUAGAAGCAGCCAUCAUUUAAAGAAAGCGUAAUAGCUCACUGGUCGAGUCGGCCUGCGCGGAAGAUGUAACGGGGCUAAACCAUGCACCGAAGCUGCGGCAGCGACACUAUGUGUUGUUGGGUAGGGGAGCGUUCUGUAAGCCGUCGAAGGUGGCCUGUGAGGGCUGCUGGAGGUAUCAGAAGUGCGAAUGCUGACAUAAGUAACGAUAAAGCGGGUGAAAAGCCCGCUCGCCGGAAGACCAAGGGUUCCUGUCCAACGUUAAUCGGGGCAGGGUGAGUCGACCCCUAAGGCGAGGCCGAAAGGCGUAGUCGAUGGGAAACAGGUUAAUAUUCCUGUACUUGGUGUUACUGCGAAGGGGGGACGGAGAAGGCUAUGUCGGCCGGGCGACGGUUGUCCCGGUUUAAGCGUGUAGGUGUGUGUUCCAGGUAAAUCCGGUUCACUUUAACACUGAGGCGUGAUGACGAGGCACCACGGUGCUGAAGUGACAAAUGCCCUGCUUCCAGGAAAAGCCUCUAAGCAUCAGGUAACACGAAAUCGUACCCCAAACCGACACAGGUGGUCAGGUAGAGAAUACCAAGGCGCUUGAGAGAACUCGGGUGAAGGAACUAGGCAAAAUGGUGCCGUAACUUCGGGAGAAGGCACGCUGGUGCGUAGGUGAAGCGACUUGCUCGCGGAGCUGAAACCAGUCGAAGAUACCAGCUGGCUGCAACUGUUUAUUAAAAACACAGCACUGUGCAAACACGAA
RNAcentral lists this ribosomal RNA (1453 nucleotides) under Atlantibacter hermannii. Its description in RNAcentral is "partial 23S ribosomal RNA". It matches the Rfam family "Bacterial large subunit ribosomal RNA", at positions 398 to 1835 of the family's 2925-position model. Lineage: Bacteria; Pseudomonadati; Pseudomonadota; Gammaproteobacteria; Enterobacterales; Enterobacteriaceae. The record is from RNAcentral.